GAUGAACGCUGACAGAAUGCUUAACACAUGCAAGUCAACUUGAAUUUGGGUUUUUAACUUAGGUUUGGGUGGCGGACGGGUGAGUAACGCGUAAAGAACUUGCCUCACAGCUAGGGACAACAUUUGGAAACGAAUGCUAAUACCUAAUAUUAUGAUAAUAGGGCAUCCUAUAAUUAUGAAAGCUAUAAGCGCUGUGAGAGAGCGUAGCGUCCCAUUAGCUAGUUGGAGAGGUAACGGCUCACCAAGGCGACGAUGGGUAGCCGGCCUGAGAGGAUGAUCGGCCACAAGGGGACUGAGACACAGCCGUUGCUCCUACGGGAGGAAGCAGUGAAGAAUAUUGGACAAUGGACGGAGAGGCUGAUACAGCAAUUCUGUGGGCACAAUGAAGUUUUUCGGAAUGAAAAGUGCUUUCAGUUGGGAAGAAACAAAGAACGGUACCAACAGAAGAAGUAACGGCUAAAUACGU
RNAcentral lists this ribosomal RNA (466 nucleotides) under uncultured bacterium. RNAcentral describes it as "partial 16S ribosomal RNA". It matches the Rfam family "Bacterial small subunit ribosomal RNA", at positions 28 to 506 of the family's 1533-position model. The record is from RNAcentral.